GCUACUGUAGCUCAGCUGGUAGAGCGGCUGCGAGAGCAGUAGGUCGUGGGUUCGAAUCCCNNGGUUCGAAUCCCACCAGUAGCU
RNAcentral lists this transfer RNA (84 nucleotides) under Anaerolineae bacterium. RNAcentral's name for it is "tRNA-OTHER". It matches the Rfam family "tRNA". From Rfam's summary of the family: Transfer RNA (tRNA) molecules are approximately 80 nucleotides in length. The record is from RNAcentral. Lineage: Bacteria; Bacillati; Chloroflexota; Anaerolineae.